UGCCAGCAGCCGCGGUAAUACGGAAGGUGCAAGCGUUAAUCGGAAUUACUGGGCGUAAAGCGCACGUAGGCGGAUUAGAAAGUUAGAGGUGAAAUCCCGGGGCUCAACCCCGGAACUGCCUUUAAAACUACUAGUCUAGAGUUCGAGAGAGGUGAGUGGAAUUCCGAGUGUAGAGGUGAAAUGCGUAGAUAUUCGGAGGAACACCAAUUGCGAAGGCAGUUCACUGGACCGUGAUCGACGCUGAGGGGCGAAAGCUAGGGGAGCAAACAGGAUUAGAUA
Molecule: ribosomal RNA, 279 nt
Filed under: uncultured bacterium
Lineage: Bacteria
Description: partial 16S ribosomal RNA
Rfam family: Bacterial small subunit ribosomal RNA
Source: RNAcentral